AAGGCCUUAGCUUAAUUAAAGUGUCUGAGUUGCAUUCAGAAGAUGUGGGGUAAAGUCCCGCAGGUUUUA
RNAcentral lists this transfer RNA (69 nucleotides) under Oreonectes polystigmus. RNAcentral describes it as "tRNA-Ala". It matches the Rfam family "tRNA". From Rfam's summary of the family: Transfer RNA (tRNA) molecules are approximately 80 nucleotides in length. The record is from RNAcentral. Lineage: Eukaryota; Metazoa; Chordata; Actinopteri; Cypriniformes; Nemacheilidae.